This 757-nucleotide long non-coding RNA is filed under the name Olea europaea subsp. europaea. Lineage: Eukaryota; Viridiplantae; Streptophyta; Magnoliopsida; Lamiales; Oleaceae. The record is from RNAcentral.
UUGAAAAAAAAAAUUCUUUUUAUUGCAAAAGAGAUAGUCAAGCACGUAAAUAAAAUCCGUCAUCUUCAACACCUUGUAGGCACUACUUACGCACCAAUCCUUGAUGGAAAAACUCACGAUGUUUAACAUAGUCAACAAACACGAAGACACAUUAGAAGUAGAAAACCAAAAGAUUGAUGAACAUUGUACUAAAACAGAGGGACCAAAACCCGGGUGGGCGAUGGAUAGUGGUUUCAAUCUUGAGUGGGUGGCUCGAUCAAUCUCACAGCACGGGGAAGCAUAAAUUCAGCAAAUAUAGGAUAGUGAGACGAAGGAUAAAGUCCAUCAACAUUAUCAUUCACGACCUCACAAGAGACAGGUACCAGUGAUCUACCCCUAAAAAGUAUCCAAUCGAUGUGCAGAUCCUGGGUUUGGCGAUCCCAGCAGAGGCAAAGUGCUCUGAAUAUUAACUUCAGGAAUUCAAGAGUCCCCUGCUUGUUACCUGACACAAUCUAGGUUACGUGGUUUUAAAGAGUUUAGCCCAUUAGAAGUCAAUGGUAGCGUAGAGGAUAAGUCAUCACCUUUAAAUCCAUGAUAAGUCCGAAUUAGAGAGACGUUUUUCCUCACACGGGCAUUUGGCCAUGCAUCUCUCAUAUCACCUACAACGCCAUGUUCUCUAAAAUAGAAAUAAUGAGAAAAAAGUAAGCAGCUAUCCAGUGUUCCAACUAAUAUUAGCAUCCAGCAAGAGGAUAAACACAACAAACUUCAGGCUCAUUAG